Molecule: long non-coding RNA, 742 nt
Filed under: Danio rerio (zebrafish)
Lineage: Eukaryota; Metazoa; Chordata; Actinopteri; Cypriniformes; Danionidae
Description: lncRNA si:dkeyp-71e8.4 (ENSDARG00000105627.2)
Source: RNAcentral
CAAACUUUAGCGGGAAAUCCCCACCUCGUUCAUUAGCUGGAGUCUGCGCAACAGUAACCAACGGGGCGGAGUUUAUAGAGUUCAGAGUUGUGGUUUCUCAGCAAUCAAAUCAACAUUAGGAUAAGCAAUGUAUCGAAAUUUCCAAUGCAGAGAAAGCCAGCUUUCAGGCAACACGUGUUAUAGUGGAAGAGAAUGUGUCUCACCAAGGCUGUAAAAGCUGAGCGCUCCAUAGUCAAAGAAGUAGCAGAUAUGCCGAGCACGAGUGGACAUGCUGCUGAAAGUGUGAGCACAGCUGGAGGCCAGUGGAUAAACACAGCACGAAAACAAGAAGACCAGCAAGGGCCAUGUGUACGCUUCAUUCCACACAUCCUCCAUCAACAACACCGUCAUCAACUUCCAGAGAAAAUACCUGACACAGAAACACAGAGAGAUGAUAAUGUUGACACAGCACCACAAUGCUGCAACUCACAACAAAUGAGUGAUCCAGCAAAACAAUAAUUCCAUGAAUCUUUCUGUUGUUGGAAACAACAUACACACAUAAGAUUUUAAUAUUUUCUUCACUUUUUCAGAGAUGGUGUGGAUAGACAUUUUCUUGCAUGGUUUUCAGACGACACUGACACUUUAGAAUCUAUAUUUAACCCUUGUAUUGUCUAUAUUGCCUUUGGUGUUCUCAUCAAAAAUGACCUACAACACUUAUCACAGUAGAGUGAUUUAAUGUUUAACCUGAAAGAUAUAUAUAUAC